Molecule: ribosomal RNA, 465 nt
Filed under: uncultured Klebsiella sp.
Lineage: Bacteria; Pseudomonadati; Pseudomonadota; Gammaproteobacteria; Enterobacterales; Enterobacteriaceae
Description: bacterial SSU rRNA
Rfam family: Bacterial small subunit ribosomal RNA
Source: RNAcentral
CCUACGGGAGGCUGCAGUGGGGAAUAUUGCACAGUGGGCGCAAGCCUGAUGCAGCCAUGCCGCGUGUGUGAAGAAGGCCUUCGGGUUGUAAAGCACUUUCAGCGGGGAGGAAGGCGGUGAGGUUAAUAACCUCAUCGAUUGACGUUACCCGCAGAAGAAGCACCGGCUAACUCCGUGCCAGCAGCCGCGGUAAUACGGAGGGUGCAAGCGUUAAUCGGAAUUACUGGGCGUAAAGCGCACGCAGGCGGUCUGUCAAGUCGGAUGUGAAAUCCCCGGGCUCAACCCGGGAACUGCAUUCGAAACUGGCAGGCUAGAGUCUUGUAGAGGGGGGUAGAAUUCCAGGUGUAGCGGUGAAAUGCGUAGAGAUCUGGAGGAAUACCGGUGGCGAAGGCGGCCCCCUGGACAAAGACUGACGCUCAGGUGCGAAAGCGUGGGGAGCAAACAGGAUUAGAUACCCGUGUAGUC